Oryctolagus cuniculus (rabbit) is the source of this 67-nucleotide microRNA precursor. It matches the Rfam family "mir-484 microRNA precursor family". The record is from Rfam. NCBI's taxonomy places the organism in Eukaryota, Metazoa, Chordata, Mammalia, Lagomorpha, Leporidae.
UCGUCAGGCUCAGUCCCCUCCCGAUAAACCUCUAAAUAGGGAACUUCCCGGGGGGCGACUGUGACUU